CUUUUACUCCAAAAAUGUCCUAAACAACUAACGUUAACACUUACACUUGAAUAAAAAUGUAUGUUUUGUCAAUCAAAAUGUCGAUCAAACUGUAGUAAAUGAUUGAGAUAACGAGUAAUUUUCAAGAAACGUUUAUGACACUGACGUGCACGCUCAGUUGACACUACCAACAUUUUCUCAGCAGUCACUUUAGCUGAUACAGCCAUCACAAUUUGUGUAUAGACAAUCAUGUGAACACGUUGAGGGUGUGACGCCAGAAUGUUGAGUUUUAAAAUAAAGUUGUGUGCAUUAUUUUUCAUCUGUCAUAUGGUAGCAUCAGAAGACAUACAGAAUACUCCAAAUGUAUGGUACAUUGAGCCAACAAUUAAUCGAAACGCUUAUGGCGCUACCGUUGCAUAUUCUUUGAACGGUACAUCAUGGUUAUUGGACUUAACGGACGUUGCACUGAAAAAAGUGCCAAUAGUGUACAAUAAAAAUGGCGUUAUAACAGAAGACACAAUCAAGGUUCAGAAUUGUUCUGUACAGACAAUGGGAAAUCUGCCUAUAUUUCAACAAUUAGAAUAUUUGAAUAAUGUAACCAGAAGCACUCAACUCGAUGAAUCAAACGAUUCAAUCAAACAGUCAAACGUGUCAUUAUGUAACGAUAAAACCAAAUGGAUGUUAACUGACGGCCAAGAUUCUUACGUGUUCACAGUUUUUAAUAAAUCUAACCAAAGUGAUCAGUCAGUUCCGAAAGAGUUAGUUUAUGGCUUAAGUGCAGUCUCUUUUCUAUUACUGUUGUUGUCGUCCUGUUUGAUUUAUUGCAAGUGUGCAUCACCUUCGGCGUCCGGGAUGGAAGACUAUCAUAUUGUUGAUAUUUGCCUGACGGGCUGUUGUAAAUUUUAGAAAUCCCUCGUUUUUAAUAAAAUAAUUCAACUUUUGUUGAAGCAAUAAGACAGCAUU
Culex pipiens pallens (northern house mosquito) is the source of this 942-nucleotide long non-coding RNA. RefSeq lists it as uncharacterized. The record is from RefSeq and is a predicted model, not a curated record. NCBI's taxonomy places the organism in Eukaryota, Metazoa, Arthropoda, Insecta, Diptera, Culicidae. The transcript is spliced from 4 exons.